CAGCUUCAAUACGUUGUUCUUGUUUAUUCCUUUUCAUUAUUGUACAACUUUUAUGACAUAAGGAAUGAAAUCCUUUUCUGUUUUUGCUCGGCACAAAUGGGUCAGUGGCACCCUGUUUUUAAUUUAUUUUUCUGAAAGUACGAGGUAAACUCAGCCGCUUCUAAGAAUUUUGCUAUAUUUUUUAUAACCUAAAUUGACAAAAAAAACCUUGUUUUCCUACAUCUAAAAAAUAGAAAGAAAAAAGGUCAGAGAAAUAUUUUUGGCGGGCUCUGUAAAUGUAACCAGGUGGAGAAAAUGGUGUUUGCUGACUUCAUCUUUGGAUAAAGCUUGUCAAUUCAUAACGCUUCUGACCGGUCUGUUUUUUAUAAGCUUUUUCUCCCACUAGAAAUGAUUUUUUGAACUUUUUAAGAAACCUCAGAUCAUUCUUUGCAGCAACUUAUCUGAAUCUUUAUCUGUAAAACCAAGGUAGUUGAUUUUUUUUUUUUUUUUAAAAAAAAAAAAAAGAAUGCAUUAAUUAUCAAUUAUAAUAGUAAAUAAAAUGCAAAACACUUAUCAUCAUUAUUAUUACUUUUUUUCAGAUGAAGGAAACCGUAUUUGUGAUGAAGAUCCUAUGUCUCAGAAACGUUCAAACAGUAAGAAAGAUGCAGUACAUACUGUACAGAGAGAAAAACGAUCUAAACCGAAACAACAGUCACAUGUCCUCCCACCGAGUCCGUUAAAUCUGAACCAGAGAUGUUCAUCAAAUCUUGAAAAUUCUACGCCGAAGGAAGAUGUUAAUUGUGGACCUGAUGUCUCAGAAGAAAAUGUUUCUUCGAAUUCUAGAAUUCCUUUGCAAGAAGGGAGCUCUAAUGAUGGUACUUCAUCCAGUAACUCCACAGCGAAGUGCCGAGUUCCUCAAUUCAAAGCCUAUUGGGAUAAAUUGGAUGACAAGGAGCAACUUUAUUUCAUUGGUGAAUCAUUGUUCUUGCUUACCAAAAGGGCUGGAAAAGCAGGCACCCUAACAGGAGAUGAAGUCAUUCGACCCACUGAAAUAACGAAAAUGUUCCCUCUGAAUAAUGUCGAAAAGCUCAAUGAAGUCCAUGAGGCCAUGGAUAAACAAAAAGGUUUUAAAAAAAAAGUGGUUGUUGAGCUGCUAAGAAAAGUUGUUAAAGACGAUCUACCGGAAACAGCACGAGGAAUGGCCAGGUUCUUGUAUACUGAUGAGUUCGCCUGCAAUUACUCAUUGUACGGUUUCAAAAACAAACAAAAUUUUUCAUCCCUCAAACUCACCCAACUACUGUUCACGGCUCUAGAUGGUGCGUUUAAUGACAAGCUCAUUAAAUACACUGAUGACGAGAUAAACAAAAGCAUAAUGGCCUGGCUGAAUUACAGCCAACAAAGAAUUAAGAGGGUAAGGGAGCUCAUCACUAUUCCUUUUUGUCAAGUUGUUAGGAUUCUUCUCGUCACCAUUAUAACUGUGUCCUUCAGAUGGAGAGGAUACAAGUGAAAGAAUUCAGGGAAGAUGGCUGAGAGAGAAGACAUCCAAGGUCAUUUAAGCGAUAAAAUUUGCUGAAUCAUAAUCUUCAGUUUCAGCUUAAAUUUAAAAACUGUAUGCCUCCCUCUCUUCUUUCAUGAAUACAUGUUGCAAGUUGCAACACCACCAGUUAAAAGGAUUACUCAUGGUGGUCAUUUCUCCUGUAAAACCACACUCUUAAUUUGAAUCUAAGAACCAUAAAAUGUCUAAUUCCCACAAGCUGUACAGUCAGAUCAUUAAAUUCGUAAAAUUUUUUAAAAUUAAAAUAAUUUCUCUCGUGAACUUCUCUGUUUCAAAAAAAAAUCCGAAGGUGAGGAAGGUUAAGUUAUUAAACUAAUAAGCCUCAAAAUUGAAAGGCUGAUGAGAAAAAAAACAUUUUCAGGCCCAGCAGGUUGUAAGCAUGCAUUUUUGUCUGCUUUGCUUUUCAACCCUAAAUUUUUCUUAAUAAAAGCUGUAUUGAAAGCUCAGCUUGUUCAUCUCUCUUGAUGCACAAAAUUGAAAUCGUCACGAGGUUCGAAAGAUGGGUAUUGCCGAACGAAGUGUUACUAAAAAAUAUUUUCUGUUUGACCGUAUUAUCAUACCCACCGUCUCAUAUAAUAUCCUCUAAUUUAUGUUUUAUCUGUUUUCAACAGAAGGAAGAUGCUAAGGAAGAAGCAGAAGGAAAAGAAUCGAUUGAAACAAACGGGCGUACGUUUAGAGCUGUCACACUCAGAGGAUGAGCUGGUGCUCCCGAAUUCUGUUUAAUCAAUUUUAAUCUUCCUUUUUUAUUUUGUAUGGUUACACUUACUUGUUUACCUUAUUUGUAUUUCAAUUAUUUAUAUUUCAUUUUUGUAUUUUUUGGACAAAAAA
This 2362-nucleotide long non-coding RNA is filed under the name Bemisia tabaci. RNAcentral describes it as "lncRNA ENSSSA1UGG002038". The record is from RNAcentral. Lineage: Eukaryota; Metazoa; Arthropoda; Insecta; Hemiptera; Aleyrodidae.